GGGAAUUUCUUCUACUAGCGCGAUGCAAAUUAUUCACCUCUUAUCUUGGGAAGCCUCAUGAUCAUAGGUUGAUCUAGUCCUUCCACCUUGCCAAAGAGUUGAUCUGAAGAUUUUCACAAAUCAUUUCAACACAGCUAGGACUUUUUGAACUUCUACUACUUGCCAGUUACAGUGUGAGACUCAGCCUGUAGCCCCAGAGAGCCUCUGGUAUCCGGUUGGACACACCCAAAUAGUAAUCACAACAAGACAAUAAAUGAACACGCCAAAGUUAAUGCUAUAGACCAGGUAAACUCAUUGUUCCAUCUUCAAACUGGCCCCCUGGACUGGCUGCAACCCCAGCUAUUCGCUGGCUUCUGCUUCUCUCUGAUUCUAAGGAGGCCGUGUGCAUGUGCAAAAGGAGUGGAGUGGGAAGAAAUGGCCAGCAGCAAUAUCAGUGUGGAAGCCCCCAUGCAGUGGUGAGGGCCAGAAGAGGAGAGUGUCGGAGAGGAAAAAAGUCCAUCUUCCCCCGGGGAUAAGCAUUCCAAAAACAGGCAUCCUGUUCCUUUUUAUCAAAAUCACUAACUUAUUAUGUAUUCUUGGGCAUCUGGCACUAUAAAGUUCCAGAUGUUCUGCUCUUGACUUUCACAACCUUCAACAGGAACGGAUAUUCAGAUCAUUCGAGGUGAGUGGAAACAUGGCAGAUUAUUUCUGACAGAUAUCAGAAAGGGCAUUCCUCCAAUAGGUUUCCUGGAGCCAUCCAAUCGCCAGACUUGCAAAUCAAGCCCAAGCGGUUCACAAUAGUAUAAUUGUCAUUUUCAUCACCACAGGCACAGCCAUUUUAGGAGGGAACCCUCAGCCCCCUGUCCAUGUUUCAGCAGUUUUCACACCCCUCUCCACAAUGGCAGAGUCUUGGAGCAACAUUUCCAGAGCCUCUCUCUAUCUCCUAUUGGCUCCUCCCCUACAGAGCACUGGCCGACCUGAUUGGUGGAGUGGAAUUAGGAGAUGGGGCAUUUGGCAGGCGAUUAGAUCAUGCAGGUAGAGCCUUCGUGAAUGGGAGUAGUGCCCUUAUAAAAGAGACCCCAGAGAGUUCCCUCGCUCCUUCUGCCAUGUAAGGACACAGAGAAAAGACAGCCAUCUAUGAACCAGGAAGCGCGCCCUCACCAGACGCAGAAUCUGGUGUGCCUUGAUCGUAGACUUCCCAGCCUACAGAACUGUGAGAAAUAAAUUUCUGUUGUUUAUGUCACCCAGUCUAUGGUAUUUUUGUUGUAGCAGCCCAAACGGACUAAAACAUCAUGAAAGUCCUAAAAACAAGAGGCAAAAAUAGAAGAUGGAUAGCCCUCUUGGAUAUUAAAGCAUCUAGGGAAACUUGACAAUUAACACAAUUAAUACCAGCACAAGAAUAGACAGAAAUAUGGAAUAGAAUAGAAAGUAUAAAAAGAAACAUAUACAGAGAACAUUUGUCCUAUGAUUAAAGUUGUACUUCACAUGACUGGGGGAGAUACAGAAUUUUUAAUAAAGGAUGUUGGGACAACUGGAUAGCCAUUUGAAAAGAAAAAAUAAAAUGCAUCCAUAAUUCCAUGUCAUUUUUAACUUUAUAGAUCUCAGUGUAAAAUAAAACAAAUAUAACCACAGAAGUAAUACAAAUCUGUGGGUGAAUUUCUUGAGAGUG
RNAcentral lists this long non-coding RNA (1648 nucleotides) under Equus asinus (donkey). RNAcentral describes it as "lncRNA (ENSEASG00005034833.1, ENSEASG00020014700.1)". Lineage: Eukaryota; Metazoa; Chordata; Mammalia; Perissodactyla; Equidae. The record is from RNAcentral.